RNAcentral lists this long non-coding RNA (340 nucleotides) under Elaeis guineensis (African oil palm). Its description in RNAcentral is "long non-coding RNA (EGUI_LNC007546)". The record is from RNAcentral. Lineage: Eukaryota; Viridiplantae; Streptophyta; Magnoliopsida; Arecales; Arecaceae.
GAAGGAGACGUGUCAGUGAUCAGCAAAAAUGGUUAAUGGUCUGAAGCAAUCCUUGGUAGAUGAUGAAUUUAAUGGCUUGGAUAACACUGAAUCCAACUGGUUGUCGCCACGGCCCUAUCAAUUCUCCCUCAGACUCUAGACCCUCCUAACCAGUUAUUGCAUCAAGUGAAUCUUAGCCAAAUGAACCCAAAGCCACAAAAUUGAAUGAAAGCUCUAAACUCCUAUGGUCCCACAUCAUCCACAAAUGGUCUACCCCCUGCUUUUCAUUGGGAUCCGUAAUACAGUUAAAAUUCCCAGCAAGUAUUAUAGGGAUGUUUUGAUUAAUCAAUGCUGUUUCCCC